CGCCGACGAGUGGCGGACGGGUGAGUAACGCGUAGGAAUCUACCUUGUAGUGGGGGAUAACCUGGGGAAACUCAGGGUAAUACCGCAUAAGCCUGAAAGGGGAAAGAAGGGGACCGUAAGGCCUUUCGUUAUAAGAUGAGCCUGCGUCGGAUUAGCUAGUUGGUGGGGUAAAGGCCUACCAAGGCGAAGAUCCGUAGCUGGUCUGAGAGGACGACCAGCCACACUGGGACUGAGACACGGCCCAG
RNAcentral lists this ribosomal RNA (245 nucleotides) under uncultured bacterium. Its description in RNAcentral is "partial 16S ribosomal RNA". It matches the Rfam family "Bacterial small subunit ribosomal RNA", at positions 86 to 334 of the family's 1533-position model. The record is from RNAcentral.